UCUCCGUUGGUGAACCAGCGGAAGGAUCAUUACAGGACUCGCAAGACUCCUACAACCCUGUGAACUUAACUAUAAGCACGUUGCUUCGGCGGGUGUCUCGGAGGGGGUUCUCCCUCCCCGAGACGCUAAACCCGCCGGCAGCCUACUAUACUCUGUCUCUUUGCGUUGGCAUCUCGAGUACAAUCAAACAAGUUAAAACUUUCAACAACGGAUCUCUUGGUUCUG
This 225-nucleotide unclassified non-coding RNA is filed under the name plant metagenome. Its description in RNAcentral is "partial contains small subunit ribosomal RNA, internal transcribed spacer 1, and 5.8S ribosomal RNA". The record is from RNAcentral.